RNAcentral lists this long non-coding RNA (2623 nucleotides) under Sus scrofa (pig). RNAcentral describes it as "lncRNA (ENSSSCG00055012618.1)". Lineage: Eukaryota; Metazoa; Chordata; Mammalia; Artiodactyla; Suidae. The record is from RNAcentral.
AAAAUGUUUUAUUUAGCUCAAACGUUACAACCGAAUCCACCUUGUAUGUUAGACACUGAAGAAAAUCAUGGGCAACAGUAAUACAAAAACAUUUCAGUUUUGAUGCCACAGACAAGGCACAAAAACCACUGGUCAGGGGACUCUCAUGAAGCUGCUUUCUGACCCUUCUUUGUCCUGUGGCUCCUCCUAUUCCCUUUUCGUUUAGUCCCACAAGGAAAAUUCUCAUUGGAUAGUGUCUAAUACCUUUGAUAAUGGAGUAGCUUUUCUCAAAGCCAAGAUGAGAGGCAAGCUAUUUGUGUCUCAUUCAGCACAGCCUCCCCCCACCCCCCGAAGAAGUGGGCCAGACCACAUUGACCUGUGUCCAGCCCCACUGAGAGAUCUCAACAAAACUUUUAACUAAACUGCUAUUUUGGCUCCCUCUAUAUAUGCCCCCCCUGAGAACCAUCCUCUGAGUUCUACCUAAAAUCCCCUUAUGCAGGGAAGAUGCCAGAUGGUUCGCUCCAGGCAGGUCACCUCCAAGCCCUGGAAUUCCAAGUCUACAUGCAAGUCUAAUUUGGCUCAGAAAUUCCUCUUCAGGAAAGAUUUUAAAAUCUUUCUUUUUUCUUUUUAAGGCCACACCCGUGGCAUAUGGAAGUUUCCAGGCUAGGGGUCGAAUCAGAGCUGCAGCUGCCAGCCACAGCAACGCCAGAUCCAAGCUGCAUCUUCGACCUACAGUGCAGCUCAUGGUGGUGCCGGAUCCUUAACCCACUGAGUGGGGCCAGAUAGAACCUGCAUCUUCAUGGAUACUAGACUCUUCUCCCCAAAUGUUUGGCUGAUUCUAGUCCCACAGGUAUUGUAGAAAUUGCAAAGAACCCUAAACAGACAGUCAUUAUAGGGCCUGGCUCUAUAAUUUAAAUAAUCAUUUGGGCGUUCCCACCAUGGCUCAGUGGAAAUGAACCUGACUUGUAUCCAUGAAGACGCAGGAUACCUGACUAGUAUCCUGGCCUCGCUCAGGUUAAGCAUCUGGCAUGCUGUGAGCUGUGGUGUAGUUUGCAAGUGUGGCUCAGAUCUGGCAUGGCCGUGGCUGUGGCAUAGGCCAGCGGCUACAGUUCCAAUUCGACCCCUAUCCUGGGAACCUCCACAUGCCGUAGGUUUGGUUCUAAAGAGACAAUAAAUAAAUAAAUAAUAAAUAAAUAAUCAUUUGUCUGCAGGCAAAUCAGGCUUUUUUUCAGGCUCGGUUUUAUAUUCUGCUUGAUGGGACCAUCAUAUCCACCCUCUUACCAAAGGGCUUAUUGUGAGGAUCAGAUGAGAUAAUGCAUGUUUAAGUAGUCUGUAAAUAGUAAGAUGCCAUAAAAUGACACACGUUGUUCUUAUCACCCUCAGGCAGUGAUAAAGCUCAGGGUUCUUCUACUUAAAGCAGCUCAACACUAUCCUUCCUCCACUCUGGUGUUAAAAGCUCCUUAACUUUGAGCUUCAUUGAUCAGCUUCCCAGGUGAGGAGGAGGAAGGAUUCUGGCAGGAAAACACUAGGCACUUUUCUCUUUAAGUACCUCGGCCCCUAUUUUAGCAGAUUUGAAUCUCUAAAUCUUAUAAAUCAAUUUCAAGUUACUGUAAGAUUCUGGCAGCAUUUACAUCGGAUGUUGGAAGGACCUGUAACAUAGAUUUUACUAUUCCUGCCCAUCCCACUUUGGGUCUUGAGAUGGAAGUAAUUGUUGACUUCCCAGGCUGAUAAUUUGAAUGCUUCAAAAAAAAAAAAAAAACAAUUUAUUUUUGCCAUUUCCCCAAUGGGCUCUUUUCUUUCUAUUCUUGAAAUAAGUUUUGCUCAGAAUGACAUCAAGGGAAUGAGACAAUUACCUGUAAUUCUUGUUGUCAGAUCUGAGAUUGUCACAACAGAUCUCUAUUCUAGGACCGGAAACAUCUGGAAGCCUCCUGAGGAGUGCUCCUUGCAUUCUUUUCUGCCUCGCAGUCUUCUUACUCCUGGACCCUGGUGAGACAGUCCCCACUGUCACAGCCACACUGCAGGGGGCUUCACCAUUGCCAGCCCCAAGGGAAUAAGAGUGACUUCACAAGACAUUUGAAGAAAAAAAUUUCUACACCCAAGGAAGCCUCAGGACCAAGUAUUUGGGGCAUACAAUGGGGUAUGAUCCAGUGCAAGAGUCUCCAAAUACAUGUGAUCAUAGGAGUCUCCUGAAAUAUAUGUUAAAAGUACAAAUCCUAGCUCCAGACCCACCCAAUCAAUCUCCAAGGCAGGGCCAAACAAUACAUUUAUUUUUAUUUUUUGCUUUUUUUAAAUGGCUGCACCUGUGGUAUAUGGAUGUUCCCAGGCUAGGGGUCUAAUCAGAGCCGCAGCUGCCGGCCUACGCCACAGCCACAGCAACGCCAGAUCUGAGCUGAGUCUGUGACCUACACCACAGCCCACAGAAACACCAGAUCCUUAAUCCAUUGAACAGAUUCAGGGAUCAAACGCACAUCCUCAAGGAUACUAGUCAUGUUCAUUACUGCUGAGCCACAAUGGGAACUCCCCCAGUGAUACAUCUUUAACAGCAAUCAAGUGAUUCAAAUGGUUAGGCAAUUUGGGGAAACACUGAUCCAACAGAAAAGCCCUUAGAGUCUAAAGACCUGAUUAGGUGUGUGACUUCCCUAAU